GGAAACAGAAAUACUAAUGGAAAAACCACGUAGCCCUGCUAUUCUGAUGGUUACACUACGUCCUCAAGCAUUGUCAAAGAUCACCAUGUUUGUUUUAUUUUGAAUUUAGUGGGUUUUUUUGGAAUACAUAUUUCUUUGGUUGGACAUAGAGUCAGCUCCACCAACUGUCCAAGGCCCGCGCUGGUCUCGGUGCUGCUUCUCACUGUAAUUCUGUGCUUGGGGAAACGAGUUCAUGGCUCUCGGGAGGUUUUAUGUGGUUGUUCCUCCCAAUGCAAAGGUCUCAGGCCCCUUUAAGGCCCUGAUAAAAGCUGAAGACCUUCCCCGAGGAAAAACGUGUCGUGCUAACACAAUUUUGUAUAAUUUCAGGAUGUUCAUUUACCCUCCCCAAAGCCAUGGACUGGGAUGAAAACUGCUCCCAACUCCUUCCAGCCCUGACACGGGACGAUGACGCUGAAGUUUAUCUAGGAAGAGGCACAAAUCGGACAGCCGACCCUAAUAAAUCAUGGAGUAGGAACAGGAUGAGCUUCCUGAGGACAAGGACCAGCUUCCUUCGCGGGGUCUGGCAUAUAAUGGUUUCUUUAUAAAUGUUUCUAGGAUGCUGUGGCUGAGUAUCUGUGUAUAUGUGUAUCUAUGUGGGUGUCUAUAUGCAUUUAUUAUAUAGACAAGCUACAGAAAGAAAGUGGCUGAUAUGAUACAGGGUACGUGUAGCCGACAGACACCCUAGCGAAGCAGCAAGUUUAUGAAAACUUCUUUCCUAAGAGUAAAGGCUAAUCACAAGGGCACUUGAGAGCAGCCUGAAGUGCAGGGAGCGGUGUGAUAUGGGGGCAACUCAGAGCAGACACAGAGCAUGCUCUUGGCUGGGCAGAGAC
This 869-nucleotide long non-coding RNA is filed under the name Sus scrofa (pig). Its description in RNAcentral is "lncRNA (ENSSSCG00045037441.1)". The record is from RNAcentral. Lineage: Eukaryota; Metazoa; Chordata; Mammalia; Artiodactyla; Suidae.